This 1018-nucleotide long non-coding RNA is filed under the name Salmo salar (Atlantic salmon). RNAcentral describes it as "lncRNA (ENSSSAG00000090128.1)". Lineage: Eukaryota; Metazoa; Chordata; Actinopteri; Salmoniformes; Salmonidae. The record is from RNAcentral.
GGACAAUCUGCUGGCUGCCCGCGGGCGUUCAGAAAGGGUCCUGUCAGUUCCACCUCCUAGCCUGCCUGCGCCCAUUCCCAUGGAGCUAGGGGGGGCCGCGUCAAGGGGAACCGGAGGAGGGUGCUCCUCCUGCACCAAUUGUGGUCGACGAGGACACACGGCCGACCGGUGCUGGGGGGGUCCCUCUGGGAGUCGAAGGCAGGCAGAACACUCCUCGUCCAUCUCAGGAAGCUCAGUCCGGCGGAGCGGAACUAUGAUGUGGGGGACCGUGAGUUGUUGGCUCUAGUCAAGGCUCUGACAGUGUGGAGACACUGGCUUGAGGGGGCUAGACACCCUUUUCUCAUCUGGACUGACCACCGGAACCUGGAGUAUAUCCGGGCAGCCCGGAGACUGAAUCCGCGUCAGGCACGGUGGGCCAUGUUCUUCACCCGAUUUCAGUUCAGGAUUUCGUAUAGACCAGGUUCCAUGAACACCAAGGCCGACGCGCUGUCCCGCCUCUAUGACACUGAGGAUCGGCCCAUCGAUCCUACUCCCAUCCUUCCAGCCUCUAAGCUGGUAGCACCAGUGGUAUGGGAGGUGGACGCGGACAUUGAGCGGGCGUUACAGGUGGAGCCUGCGCCUUCGAACUGUCCUACAGGCCGUAAGUACGUUCCGCUUGGUGUCCGUGAUCAAUUGAUUCGAUGGGCUCAUACACUACCCUCCUCGGGUCAUCCUGGGGUGGCGUGGACAGUGCGAGGCCUUAGGGGGAAGUACUGGUGGCCCACCUUGGCUAAGGACGUGAGGUUUUAUGUCUCUUCCUGUUCGGUAUGCGCCCAGAGCAAGGCUCCUAGGCACCUUCCGAGAGGGAAGUUACAACCCCACCCCGUUCCACAAAGGCUGUGGACUUCCUUACCGAUCUUCCCCCGUCUCAGGGGAAUACCACGGUUCUGGUAGUUGUGGAUCGGUUCUCUAAGUCCUGCCAUCUCCUCCCGCUGCCCGUUCUCCCUACGGCCCUGCAGACUGAGGAGGCCCUAUUCAC